AGCAGCCGCGGUAAUUCCAGCUCCAAUAGCGUAUAUUAAAGUUGUUGCAGUUAAAAAGCUCGUAGUUGAAUUUCGGGAUCAGUACGCUGGUCGUGCCUUUGGUAUGUACUGGUGUCACUGAUUCCUCCCUUCUGAAGAACCGUUAUGCCAUUUAUUUGGUGUGGCGGGGAAUCAGGACUGUUACUUUGAAAAAAUUAGAGUGUUUAAAGCAGGCUCGCGCUUGAAUACAUUAGCAUGGAAUAAUGAAAUAGGACGUUUGAUCUUAUUUUGUUGGUUUCUAGGAUCGACGUAAUGAUUAAUAGGGAUAGUUGGGGGCAUUAGUAUUCAAUUGUCAGAGGUGAAAUUCUUGGAUUUAUUGAAGACUAACUACUGCGAAAGCAUUUGCCAAGGAUGUUUUCAUUAAUCAAGAACGAAAGUUAGGGGAUCGAAGACGAUCAGAUACCGUCGUAGUCUUAACCAUAAACUAUGCCGACUAGGGAUCGGAUGAUGUUAU
Molecule: ribosomal RNA, 493 nt
Filed under: uncultured Glomus
Lineage: Eukaryota; Fungi; Glomeromycota; Glomeromycetes; Glomerales; Glomeraceae
Description: SSU rRNA
Rfam family: Eukaryotic small subunit ribosomal RNA
Source: RNAcentral